Molecule: ribosomal RNA, 208 nt
Filed under: uncultured bacterium
Lineage: Bacteria
Description: partial 16S ribosomal RNA
Rfam family: Bacterial small subunit ribosomal RNA
Source: RNAcentral
UACGUAGGCGGUUUGGUAAGUCAGGUGUGAAAUCCCGAAGCUCAACUUCGGAACUGCAUCCGAUACUGCCAGACUAGAGUAAUGGAGGGGCAGGUGGAAUUCUUGGUGUAGCAGUGAAAUGCGUAGAUAUCAAGAGGAAGACCAAUGGCGAAGGCAGCCUGCUGGACAUUUACUGACGCUGAGGUACGAAGGCUAGGGUAGGCGAAAG